Lemur catta (Ring-tailed lemur) is the source of this 4770-nucleotide long non-coding RNA. RefSeq lists it as uncharacterized. The record is from RefSeq and is a predicted model, not a curated record. The transcript is spliced from 6 exons. Lineage: Eukaryota; Metazoa; Chordata; Mammalia; Primates; Lemuridae.
GUGAUGCUGGACAUGGCAGCCUGCGAUCCUCAGCAGUUGCCCAGGAGAAGGCCCAGAGAAUGAUUCAGCAGAAAGGGCAGCUGAAGAGUGAGGAUGCUGGGUCACUCCCCUGGCAGAGCUGGACCUGAAGCUUGCCUGCCCUUGAGCCCCCAUCCCCCUGCUGCCUGCUCCCCUGCAGUCCUUCUCUCCCUGGUGGGCACCUUCUUCCACCCACUUGUCCAGGCUGAACUCAGUGCCUCCCUCCUGCACCAUCAUCUGGUCUUCCCACCUGUCUCAGUCCUGCCCAUCUUCCUCCAUCCCUGCUUCCCAGACACAGAGCUCAGCCCACAGGGAAUGUGUGGUUUGGCUAGACACGGAGGACACAUGCGUGCAGACCAGAAAACCACCACCAGGGAUCCAGGAAUCCUGCUCCUGGGCUCAGCCUGCUGUUUCUUCACCACGUGACCCUGCGCAAACUCCCCAAAACCACUCUGACCCUCACCAGUGCAUCCACAAAAUGGGAGUUAUCAAGUCAUCUUUACGUAACUCGUAACUAGUAACUCGGGGAGGGGGUGGCGUUGCCAUGAGAACCUGGGAGAUAAGGGUUGUAAAAACAUUUUGAGAACUGAGCCACUACACAGUCUGAGGUAGCCUCGCUGUUAUUCUCGCCUGACAUUAGUGCCAACUACCUGUGUGAUCCUGAGCAAGUCAUUCACCUCACUCAACCUCAAGCUGGGGGUGUGGUGAUGGUGGUGUUUCUCCAGCCUCCUUCAAGGGGUCACGGUGACGAUCUGAUGCAGUCAGCUUUGCAAAGGUGUCUGGGUGGUGCAGAGCGCUCCCCAAUUUUAAGGCAUUGCUCUAAAGUCUCCCCUAAUGGAGACCAAACGUUCUGUUUUGAACGUGCCCAGCAGGUGCACAAAGAGCCUGGUACACCACCAGCUGGUCUGACGCUCGAGAAAGGAGGGAGAGAGAACAGAACUGCCAGCCAGAGCUGACUUGUGUGUCAAGCCCCAAGCAAGCGUGCACCCAUGGUCCUGCUAGAACCUGAGGACAGCCCUGAGGGAGGCGGUGGGUGAUGGAACCCCUUCCCCCCCACUUCUCAGAGGAGAAACUGAGUCUCAAGGAAGUGAAGGGACUUAUCCAGGGUUUUUGAGCACACAUGGCAGAAAAGGGAUUGAACCCAGCUGCAUUCUCCACCCCGGGGGCUCUUCCCCUUAGAGAGAAUGAGUUGGGGCGUGGGAGAGAAGCCCCGUCGGGGUGGCCUCUGGUGGGACGGCCAUAGCAGGAGGGAGAGAGGGCGGGCAGGGCUUGAGACCUGGGCUCCCUGCACAGUGCUGAGAGCCAUGUCCCCGGUCCCAACUCUCCAGACUCUCCUGUUCCUGCUCAUCCACCACACUGGCCGCUCACCGGCCGCUGGUGGCGGUUGGCACUGGGGGGCCGGGAGCACUCCCUGGUGGUCUGACACACAGGAUGUGUCUCACCUCAAAGCAGAAGUGAAACGGGCCAGUUCCCCCUGCAAGACAAGAGGCAAGUCUGACCACCCCCAGCCACCGUCCCUCUUCAGGAAAUAGCAGAGUGGCUGCCACCUCUGGCAGCCAGACUAGGGGAUGAUAAAAGAAGCCGACCUGCUCUGGGGCCCAACCCGUGCAGGGAGCUGGGUGUCUGCCUCCCACGGCACACAUCUUGGCAUCGCUUUGCGCACAUCUCCUUGGGCAGCAUCCUAGUGAAUGGAAGAUGCUGUUUCUACCAGGGUUUGUGAUUUAGGGUCUAAGGGAGAUGGCACUUUGUGCAAGUCCUGUCUCCCAGCAGAAUCAGAGCUGGCCCAUUCCUGCCAGAGGGAGGUCCAUUCGUGGUUUAUUCGCUCAUUCGUCGUUCACGUGUUCGGUCAUCGUGCUCUCAUAACAAAUAUGUGUUGUUAACGACCGUCUGUGUGCAGGCAUUUUGUGCAUACAGGGGGGAGAAGGAUGUCAAAAAAUUACACAAAUAACGAGUGCUGUCGUGAAACAAUUAGUUGUGAAAAGUGCUCCAAAGGCAAAGGAGAGGCUGCUGGGAGAGGUCUGAGGAGGACCUUGACCUGUUCUGGGGCUCAGGGAAGGCUUCCGGACAUUUCUGUGAAGACCUGAUGGGUGGCCCACGGGGGAGGAGGGGACAAGUGCCGCUGGAGCAGGAAGCAGAGACCAGAUCACGCAGGACCCUGUGGGCUACAGAAGGGCCUCCUGCCUGUUUAUAUGUCUGUCAAGAGAAAGAAUGUGUGGAAGGCUAGGUGACCUUGGGCAGGCCUUCCUCUUCUUUUGGCCUCAGUUUCCUCAUCUUUUCAAGGGAGCAUGUUCGCCCUCCUUGCAGGGUUGUUGAAGAGCCCCUACUUAGGUAAAGUACCUAGCAUAGCACCUGCCACAUUGGGGCUGCUCCAGUAAGUGGAGCCAUUAGUGUGACUGUGACAAAGGCAGGCCAGGGACCCAGGCUGCCUGCCCAGCUCCCCUUCCAGUGGCUGCCGUGGCAGUGGCUGCCUUCUUCCCAGGGCUGCUUCUAGGAGACACAGAGCCAGGAGCCAUCUUCGGGGUUGAGCACAUCGGCCUGAGUUCACUUGGCUCGCUGCUGAAGUGUUGCUCUGCGGUCAUAUCGGGCCCUCUGCCAGCCAAGGGGAAAAAAUCUUCCUAAAGCAGAAAGGAGCCGUCAUUGAUCACAAGCACGCCUGGAGCCAUGAGGAUGCUUCGCUUGCUACCUGGCUUAGUUCUAGCAACAACCCCUCACGCUGGCUAUUUUUGGCUGCCUUUUACAGAUAAGUAACUGAGGAUUGGGGUCACCCACCUGGCAAGUGACAGAGUCCAGGUCACCAUGACCUUGCCCAGCCCUCCAUCCCUGGUGAUGGGCCUUUGGCCUAUGUUUUGUUGUAUUUUGGAUUUCACCCGGUGUGAGACCAUUGCAGGAGCGAGUUGGGCGAGCCUGAGCUUUUUUCUUUUUUUAAUUUUAUCUAUUUUUUAAUUUUUUCAGCAGUUAAGUAUCAAGCAAGAGCCUGAGCUUUGAUUUCUUCUUCUGGCAAGUGGCUGCCGGAAUUGCUGCUGCUCCUUCUCAGGAGUGUCACAGAAUGAUCAGGCUGGAGCCACCUCAGCAAUGAGUGUGGCCAUCCCCUUGUCUGCAGAGGGGUAACAAGAUGCAGAAAUCGGUGCUCAGGAAGGGGAAGUAGCAUGCACAAGGUCACACCGUCGUGCCUGACUUGAAAGCAGCUUGGCUGGAGCCGCAGUGAUGCUGUCUCUGCUCCUGCAGAAUGCAGAGCGCUAUAGCUUGAAGUCGCAUCCUGGAGCCGAUUCUUUUUGCUGUCAGGAGGGCGUGGCUGGGCCGGAGAUAAUCUGCAGCUGGCAGGAGGAGAGAAGCCCUGGUGACUUCCUUGGUCUGAACCUGAGCCCCUGCUGAAAACAAACGUGUUGGCAGUUUCUCUUCCUUCCUGUUCAACUUGGGCUCCCUGAAGGUCUUGUCCCUGAAACAGAGCCCAGCCACGUAGCCAGCACUCCUGCCCUCCCAAGGGCACUGGUUUUGGAAGAUGUGCCCAGAUGGGAGCUCACACCUGCCACUCUGCUCCCCUAAGUGCCACACCAGCAAGCUCACGAUCUCUCCAGCAACAAUUUGCAGCUCCUUCCCUGUGCCAGACACCACACAGGCUCUAGGCAGGUGGCACCAUUCUGGCCCCCGCCCUCAUGGAACCUGCAGCCCAGUGCAGGAGAUGGCUAGGGAGCAGCAAAGUAUUUGUGACCAUCUUUAACCUGCCACAUCACCCACGUGAAGAGCUUGGGGAAGAGUGUUCCAGGCAGAGGAACAGCAAGUGCAAAGGCCCUGAGGUAGGAUGGAGCCCAGAGACCUGAGCCUUGAACAAUGGGUUCCUCCACUUCCUUGGUUUCCUCUCCUGUAAAGUGGGAACUAAGGAUGCUUCCCUUCCUUUAUAGGCAUAUAGGAUGUGAGAUGCUUUGCCUCAGGGCAGCGUUAGGAUUUUGGUUAUUGGCCACUGGGUGGGAGGAGAGUCAAACACAGGAGCUUGGUUUGGCUUUCCUGAAGCUCACAAGCAUCUGUGGAGCGCUGCCUGGCAGGAAGGCACGUGCUCAGCACCACAGGUCACAGGAGGAGAGUCCCAGGGUUGCUGAUCUUGCUGAGCUUAUGGCAUGACAAGAUUGCUCACUGCCCCGGCUGUGACUGAGACACGCCAGGUGCAUCUCAGAAGAGAAGAGCUGGAAGGAUUUGGCUGCUCAGGGAAGGCCUGGAGGAGAUGGGAUUCCAAAAAGGCCUUGGAGGGCACAUAGGAUUUGGCUGAAGGAGGGGGAACUGUUGAUAGGAGAGGUGUAAGAGGCUGUGGAAUUCAGCAAUUCAAUGCAACAAAUGCUUGCUGAACUCCUGUGCUAUGCCGUGGGAACGGAACAGGCAGAGAGAGGCACUGUGGGGGCCCAGGGCAGGCACCAGCCAGGCCUGGAAAGCCAGGAAGGCUUCCUGGAGGAAGUGAUACUGCUUCAGAGGCCUGAUGGAUGAGUCAGGUCAACCACAGUAGGGCACUAGGAGGAGCAGAGGAUACAAAGAGGGUCCCAGUGGGAGGAACAACAACUGUAAAGGUCAGAGAGGAGGGAGGGCUUGGGACUCUCAAGUAAAGGCAGAGUUGUGUCUGAAGCAGAGAGUCCAUGUGGAAGAGAGGGGAGGGAUGAGUUCUGGGAUAAAAUGGGCCUCGUGGGCUAACUAAAGUCUUCAUCCUUUUUCCUGAGGGCAAUGUAUGUAGGAUUUCCAGAUUUCACAAAUAAAAAUACAGGUUGUCCU